CCUACGGGAGGCAGCAGUGGGGAAUAUUGGGCCAUGGGCGCAAGCCUGACCCAGCAACGCCGCGUGAAGGCAGAAGGCUUUCGGGUUGGAAACAUCUUUUGUCAGGGACGUAGCAAGUGACGGUACCUGACGAAUAAGCCACGGCUAACUACGUGCCAGCAGCCGCGGUAAUACGGAGGUGGCAAGCGGUAUCCGGAUUUAGUGGGUGUAAAGGGCGUGUAGGCGGGAAUGCAAGUCAGUUGUGAAAACUAUGGGCUCAACCCAUAUCCUGCAUUUGAAACUGUAUUUCUUGAGUGCUGGAGAGGCAAUCGGAAUUCCGUGUGUAGCGGUGAAAUGCUUAGAUAUACGGAGGAACACCAGUGGCGAAGGCGGAUUGCUGGACAGUAACUGACGCUGAGGCGCGAAAGCGUGGGGAGCAAACAGGAUUAGAUACCCCUGUAGUC
RNAcentral lists this ribosomal RNA (443 nucleotides) under uncultured bacterium. RNAcentral describes it as "partial 16S ribosomal RNA". It matches the Rfam family "Bacterial small subunit ribosomal RNA", at positions 338 to 795 of the family's 1533-position model. The record is from RNAcentral.